UUGCGCCUGCGGCGGACCCGGCACGGGCAAACAGACGACUUCGCAGGCAGUCUGCCCGUGUACGGUCUGGUACUUCCCGAAAUUAUUCGGGCUUUAACGCUUUCU
This 105-nucleotide non-coding RNA is filed under the name unclassified sequences. RNAcentral describes it as "RT-5 RNA". It matches the Rfam family "RT-5 RNA". From Rfam's summary of the family: Clostridium (Firmicutes). RNAcentral also lists the same sequence under 1 other name. The record is from Rfam by way of RNAcentral.